This 497-nucleotide ribosomal RNA is filed under the name uncultured bacterium. RNAcentral describes it as "bacterial SSU rRNA". It matches the Rfam family "Bacterial small subunit ribosomal RNA", at positions 21 to 507 of the family's 1533-position model. The record is from RNAcentral.
GGCUCAGGAUGAACGCUAGCUACAGGCUUAACACAUGCAAGUCGAGGGGCAGCAUGAACUUAGCUUGCUAAGUUUGAUGGCGACCGGCGCACGGGUGAGUAACACGUAUCCAACCUGCCGAUGACUCGGGGAUAGCCUUUCGAAAGAAAGAUUAAUACCCGAUGGCAUAGUUCUUCCGCAUGGUAGAACUAUUAAAGAAUUUCGGUCAUCGAUGGGGAUGCGUUCCAUUAGGUUGUUGGCGGGGUAACGGCCCACCAAGCCUUCGAUGGAUAGGGGUUCUGAGAGGAAGGUCCCCCCACAUUGGAACUGAGACACGGUCCAAACUCCUACGGGAGGCAGCAGUGAGGAAUAUUGGUCAAUGGACGAGAGUCUGAACCAGCCAAGUAGCGUGCAGGAUGACGGCCCUAUGGGUUGUAAACUGCUUUUAUAAGGGAAUAAAGUGAGUCUCGUGAGACUUUUUGCAUGUACCUUAUGAAUAAGGACCGGCUAAUUCCGUG